This 208-nucleotide ribosomal RNA is filed under the name uncultured bacterium. Its description in RNAcentral is "partial 16S ribosomal RNA". It matches the Rfam family "Bacterial small subunit ribosomal RNA", at positions 568 to 775 of the family's 1533-position model. The record is from RNAcentral.
UGCGUAGGCGGUAAAUCAAGUUGGCAGCGUAAUUCCGAGGCUUAACCUUGGGACUACUGCCAAAACUGGUGAACUAGAGUGUGUCAGGGGUAAGUGGAAUUCCUAGUGUAGCGGUGGAAUGCGUAGAUAUUAGGAGGAACACCGGAGGCGAAAGCGACUUACUGGGGCAUAACUGACGCUGAGGCACGAAAGCGUGGGGAGCAAACAA